UUAGAACGAACGCUGGCGGCAGGUCUUAGGCAUGCAAGUCGAACGGAUGACAAGGGAGCUUGCUCCUGAAGUCAGUGGCGCACGAGUGAGUAACGCGUGGGAAACUGCCCUUCACUGGGGAAUAACGUUUGGAAACGAACGCUAAUACCGCAUACGCCCGCAAGGGGAAAGAUUUAUCGGUGAUGGAUGUGCCCGCGUUGGAUUAGCUAGUUGGUGGGGUAAUGGCCUACCAAGGCGAUGAUCCAUAGCUGGUCUGAGAGGACCGAUCAGCCACGCUGGAACUGAGACACGGUCCAGACUCCUACGGGAGGCAGCAGCUAAGAAUAUUGGGCAAUGGAGGAAACUCUGACCCAAGCCAUGCCGCGUGAAUGAAGAAGGCCUUCGGGUUGUAAAGUUCUUUUAGUCAUGAAGAUGAUGACAGUAGUGACAGAAAAAGCACCGGCUAACUUCGUGCCAGCCGCGGC
RNAcentral lists this ribosomal RNA (464 nucleotides) under uncultured bacterium. RNAcentral's name for it is "bacterial SSU rRNA". It matches the Rfam family "Bacterial small subunit ribosomal RNA", at positions 24 to 518 of the family's 1533-position model. The record is from RNAcentral.